This 301-nucleotide ribosomal RNA is filed under the name uncultured bacterium. RNAcentral describes it as "partial 16S ribosomal RNA". It matches the Rfam family "Bacterial small subunit ribosomal RNA", at positions 509 to 807 of the family's 1533-position model. The record is from RNAcentral.
CAGUCGCCGCGGUAACACCGAGGGUGCGAGCGUUAAUCGGAUUUACUGGGCGUAAAGCGUGCGUAGGCGGCUUCUUAAGUCGGAUGUGAAAUCCCUGAGCUUAACUUAGGAAUUGCAUUCGAUACUGGGAAGCUAGAGUAUGGGAGAGGAUGGUAGAAUUCCAGGUGUAGCGGUGAAAUGCGUAGAGAUCUGGAGGAAUACCGAUGGCGAAGGCAGCCAUCUGGCCUAAUACUGACGCUGAGGUACGAAAGCAUGGGGAGCAAACAGGAUUAGAUACCCCCGUAGUCCCUGUCUCUUAUAC